Molecule: ribosomal RNA, 492 nt
Filed under: uncultured bacterium
Lineage: Bacteria
Description: partial 16S ribosomal RNA
Rfam family: Bacterial small subunit ribosomal RNA
Source: RNAcentral
AGUGAACGCUGGCGGUAGGCCUAACACAUGCAAGUCGAACGGCAGCACAGUAAGAGCUUGCUCUUACGGGUGGCGAGUGGCGGACGGGUGAGGAAUAUAUCGGAAUCUACUCUUUCGUGGGGGAUAACGUAGGGAAACUUACGCUAAUACAGCAUAUGACCUACGGGUGAAAGCAGGGGAUCUUCGGACCUUGCGCGAUUGAAUGAGCCGAUGUCGGCUUAGCUAGUUGGCGGGGGAAAGGCCCACCAAGGCGAGGAACCGUAGCUGGUCUGAGAGGAUGAUCACCGACAUGAGAACUUGGACACGCUCCAGACUCCUACGGGAGGCACCAGUGGGGAAUGUGAGGCAGUGGGCGCGAGCCUGGUCCAGCCAUACCGCGUGUGUGGAGGAGGCCUUCGGGUUGUAAAGCCCGUUUUUGGGUAAAGAAAAGCAGCAGGUUGAUACCCCGCUGUUCUGACGGUACCCAAAGAAUAAGCACCGGCUAACUACGUG